GAGGGGCCCUGGGUUCUGUAGUGGGGCCCUGGGUUAUGUAGAGGGAUCCUGGGUUAAGAGCUGGCUUAUUAUCAGUGUCGUAUAUUAGAUUCCAGAGUAUAAUUCUGGAUUGAUAAAUAAGGUCUCCAUAGUUAAGAAACUUAGAAAAAACACUGAUUAAUCCAGUUGCUUUACCUUGUAAGGGAGAACAUGGAUGCAGAGAAGCUCAAUGGCUUCCUGAGUCAUGGGUUUGGUGUCUGGACAGGAUCCUUUGUGGUUUCAGGUGACAGAGGUGACUUCAGCUCCCAAUGUGGUCAGGCUCCACUUGGUGCCAGGGACGAGGGUGGAAGGCGCCUGUCUCAGAGGCUCAGACCCAGAGCUGAGACUUCCCCAAGCACAGGGCUUGCAAAUAUUGGACUCCCAGGAAGCCCCAGGAGUGGGCAGAGCUCUUCGGAGGUGUGGACAAAGGAGGCCUUGGAGAGAACAGGGUUCAGUGGCCGACGGGUGGAGAAGUCAGAGCUGGCUGCACCGUGGAGCCCGCGCAUCAACCUUGCUGAGGACCCCAGUGCGGAAAGUCCUGGGUUCACUUCCUUCCAGAUCUGCUGAGCACCCACUCACGGCGGGAGAGCUGGGUUGUCCUGGAAUUCUGGAGAGGCUCCUGCUCGGAAGGAGUUCGAGGUCUUCCUGUCCGGUCUGA
RNAcentral lists this long non-coding RNA (676 nucleotides) under Macaca nemestrina (pig-tailed macaque). RNAcentral describes it as "lncRNA (ENSMNEG00000045692.1)". The record is from RNAcentral. Lineage: Eukaryota; Metazoa; Chordata; Mammalia; Primates; Cercopithecidae.